RNAcentral lists this ribosomal RNA (497 nucleotides) under uncultured bacterium. RNAcentral describes it as "partial 16S ribosomal RNA". It matches the Rfam family "Bacterial small subunit ribosomal RNA", at positions 28 to 507 of the family's 1533-position model. The record is from RNAcentral.
GCCGAACGCUGGCGGCGUGCCUAAUACAUGCAAGUCGAACGCUGAAGGGCGGAGCUUGCUCUUCUUGGAUGAGUUGCGAACGGGUGAGUAACGCGUAGGUAACCUGCCUUGUAGCGGGGGAUAACUAUUGGAAACGAUAGCUACUACCGCAUAACAAUGGAUGACACAUGUCAUUUAUUUGAAAGGGGCAAUUGCUCCACUUCAAGAUGGACCUGCGUUGUAUUAGCUAGUAGGUGAGGUAACGGCUCACCUAGGCGACGAUACAGAGCCGACCUGAGAGGGUGAGCGGCCACACUGGGACUGAGACACGGCCCAGACUCCUACGGGAGGCAGCAGUAGAGAAUCUUCGGCAAUGGGGGCAACCCUGACCGAGCAACGCCGCGUGAGUGAAGAAGGUUUGCGGAUCGUAAAGCUCUGUUGUAAGUCAAGAACGAGUGUGAGAGUGGAAAGUUCACACUGUGACGGUAGCUUACCAGAAAGGGACGGCUAACUACGUG